Molecule: long non-coding RNA, 967 nt
Filed under: Homo sapiens (human)
Lineage: Eukaryota; Metazoa; Chordata; Mammalia; Primates; Hominidae
Description: non-protein coding lnc-LONRF1-5:1
Source: RNAcentral
UUUCCGAUUUUUGAACCCUCUUUCCUAGGCAAAAGGUGUUCAAUCUCUACAUACCCGCAGAAUUUAACAGAUGUCUCUUUAUUCCUCCUCCUAGAAGCUCAGAGGAUCCAGAACAGCAGCCUGUCCUCGCUGGGCUGUUCCUGUCCAUGUGCCUGGUCACGGUGCUGGGGAACCUGCUCAUCAUCCUGGCCGUCAGCCCUGACUCCCACCUCCACACCCCCAUGUACCUCUUCCUCUCCAACCUGUCCUUGCCUGACAUCGGUUUCACCUCCAGCAUGGUCCCCAAGAUGAUUGUGGACAUCUAAUCUCACAGCAGACUCAUCUCCUAGGCAGGCUGCCUGACUCCCAUGUCUCUCUUUGCCAUUUUUGGAGGCAUGGAAGAGAGACAUGCUCCUGAGUGUGAUCCCUAUGACCCGUUUGUAGCCAUCUGUCACCCUCUAUAUCAUUCAGCCAUCAUGAACCCGUGUUUCUGUGGCUUUCUAGUUUUGUUGUCUUUUUUUUCUCAGUCUCUUUUAGACGCCCAGGUGCACAACUUGAUUGCCUUACAAAUGACCUGCUUCAAGGAUGUGGAAAUUCCUAAUUUCUUCUGGGAACCUUCUCAACUCCCCCAUCUUGCAUGUUGCGACACCUUCACCAAUAACAUAAUCAUGUAUUCCCCUGCUGCCAUAUUUGGUUUUCUUCCCAUCUCGGGGACCCUUUUCUCUUACUAUAAGAUUGUUUCCUCCAUUCUGAGGGUUUCAUCAUCAGGUGGGAAGUAUAAGGCGUGCUCCACCUGUGGGUCUCACCUGUCAGUUGUUUGCUGAUUUUAUGGAACAGGCUUUUGGGGGUACCUCAGUUCAGAUGUGUCAUCUUCCCCGGGAAAGGCUGCAGUGGCCUCAGUGAUGUACACGGUGGUCACCCCCAUGCCGAACCCCUUCAUCUACAGCCUGAGAAACAGGGAUAUUAAAAGUGUCCUGCGGCGGCCGCA